Molecule: microRNA precursor, 67 nt
Filed under: Strigamia maritima
Lineage: Eukaryota; Metazoa; Arthropoda; Chilopoda; Geophilomorpha; Linotaeniidae
Description: mir-375 microRNA precursor family
Rfam family: mir-375 microRNA precursor family
Source: Rfam by way of RNAcentral
ACUCACUUGAGCUGUGCGACCGCAACGUGAAUGAAAAACUGUUUUGUUCGUUCGGCUCGAGUUAUUU